This 233-nucleotide long non-coding RNA is filed under the name Struthio camelus australis. RNAcentral describes it as "lncRNA (ENSSCUG00000017859.1)". Lineage: Eukaryota; Metazoa; Chordata; Aves; Struthioniformes; Struthionidae. The record is from RNAcentral.
GAGAAGUUAUUUUCUUCCUAGUUUCUUAUUGCUCUACUGGCUGCUUUAAUUCCUGGCAGCGUUGCAUUAAUGUUAAACACUGGUCCCAAGCACCGAGUGGCAAUUUAUCAUCUUUCUUGGCAGGCUUCCUGCUUCAUCGUGCACCUGCCUCCUUGAAAGAAAACAAGACAUCAGAUACUUAUUCAAAUAAUGCAAUAGCUGAUCAGCAGAGUAUCUACACAAUGUGAAGUACC